This 1298-nucleotide ribosomal RNA is filed under the name metagenome. RNAcentral describes it as "bacterial SSU rRNA". It matches the Rfam family "Bacterial small subunit ribosomal RNA", at positions 182 to 1498 of the family's 1533-position model. The record is from RNAcentral.
GGGAUCACAUGGUUCUGGGGUAAAAGAUUUAUCGGUUUGGGGUGGGCUCGCGUCCGAUUAGGUAGUUGGUGAGGUAACGGCCCACCAAGCCGACGAUCGGUAGCCGACCUGAGAGGGUGAUCGGCCACAUUGGGACUGAGACACGGCCCAAACUCCUACGGGAGGCAGCAGUGGGAAUAUUGGGCAAUGGAGGAAACUCUGACCCAGCAACGCCGCGUGGAGGAAGAAGGUUUUCGGAUCGUAAACUCCUGUCCUUGGAGACGAGUAGAAGACGGUAUCCAAGGAGGAAGCCCCGGCUAACUACGUGCCAGCAGCCGCGGUAAUACGUAGGGGGCAAGCGUUGUCCGGAAUAAUUGGGCGUAAAGGGCGCGUAGGCGGCUCGGUAAGUCUGGAGUGAAAGUCCUGCUUUUAAGGUGGGAAUUGCUUUGGAUACUGUCGGGCUUGAGUGCAGGAGAGGUUAGUGGAAUUCCCAGUGUAGCGGUGAAAUGCGUAGAGAUUGGGAGGAACACCAGUGGCGAAGGCGACUAACUGGACUGUAACUGACGCUGAGGCGCGAAAGUGUGGGGAGCAAACAGGAUUAGAUACCCUGGUAGUCCACACUGUAAACGAUGAAUGCUAGGUGUAGGGGGUAUCGACCCCUUCUGUGCCGCAGUCAACACAAUAAGCAUUCCGCCUGGGGAGUACGGCCGCAAGGUUGAAACUCAAAGGAAUUGACGGGGGCCCGCACAAGCAGCGGAGCAUGUGGUUUAAUUCGACGCAACGCGAAGAACCUUACCAGGUCUUGACAUCCACUUAAACUUACAGAGAUGUAAGGUGUGCUUGCACAAAGUGAGACAGGUGGUGCAUGGUUGUCGUCAGCUCGUGUCGUGAGAUGUUGGGUUAAGUCCCGCAACGAGCGCAACCCUUAUCUUCAGUUACUAACGCGUGAGGGUGAGGACUCUGAAGAGACUGCCGGGGACAACUCGGAGGAAGGUGGGGACGACGUCAAAUCAUCAUGCCCCUUAUGACCUGGGCUACACACGUGCUACAAUGGCCACGACAGAGAGAAGCGAAAUCGCAAGGUAGAGCGGAACUCAAAAAAGUGGUCCCAGUUCGGAUUGUGGGCUGCAACCCGCCCACAUGAAGUCGGAGUUGCUAGUAAUCGCGGAUCAGCAUGCCGCGGUGAAUACGUUCCCGGGCCUUGUACACACCGCCCGUCACACCAUGGGAGUUGGGAGUGCCCAAAGCCGGUGAGGCAACCGCAAGGAGCCAGCCGUCUAAGGCAAGACCAAUGACUGGGGUGAAGUCGUAACAAGGUA